AGAGUUUGAUCCUGGCUCAGAGUGAACGCUGGCGGCGUGCCUAACACAUGCAAGUCGAACGAGAACGGGUUAUAGCUUGCUAUAACUGUCAGCUAAGUGGCGCACGGGUGAGUAAUAUAUAGUUAACCUGCCUCAAAGAGGAGAAUAAUUGUUGGAAACGACUUGUAAUGCUCUAUAUGCCUUUAUCACAUAAGUGAGCAAGGGAAAUAUUUAUAGCUUUGAGAUGGGACUGUACGGUAUCAGUUAGUUGGUGAGGUAAUGGCUCACCAAGACUAUGACGCCUAACUGGGUUGAGAGGAUGAUCAGUCACACUGGAACUGAGACACGGUCCAGACUCCUACGGGAGGCAGCAGUGGGGAAUAUUGCACAAUGGAGGAAACUCUGAUGCAGCAACGCCGCGUGGAGGAUGACACAUUUCGGUGCGUAAACUCCUUUUAUUAGGGAGGAUAAUGACGGUACCUAAUGAAUAAGCACCGGCUAACUCCGUGCCAGCAGCCGCGGUAAUACGGGGGGUGCAAGCGUUACUCGGAAUCACUGGGCGUAAAGAGCACGUAGGCUGAUUAGUAAGUUGGAAGUGAAAUCCUAUGGCUCAACCAUAGAACUGCUUCCAAAACUGCUUAUCUAGAGUAUGGGAGAGGUAGAUGGAAUUUCUGGUGUAGGGGUAAAAUCCGUAGAGAUCAGAAGGAAUACCGAUUGCGAAGGCGAUCUACUGGAACAUUACUGACGCUGAGAUGCGAAAGCGUGGGGAGCAAACAGGAUUAGAUACCCUGGUAGUCCACGCCCUAAACGAUGCACACUAGUUGUUGCUAUGCUAGACAUAGCAGUAAUGCAGUUAACACAGUAAGUGUGCCGCCUGGGGAGUACGGUCGCAAGAUUAAAACUCA
Molecule: ribosomal RNA, 884 nt
Filed under: uncultured bacterium
Lineage: Bacteria
Description: bacterial SSU rRNA
Rfam family: Bacterial small subunit ribosomal RNA
Source: RNAcentral